GUUGGGCAUGGUGACACAUGCCUGUAAUCCCAGCUGCUUGGGAGGCUAAGGCAGGAGGAUCACAAGUUUGAGGUUAGCCUGGGCAACUUAGUGAGACCCUGUCUCAA
Molecule: small RNA, 107 nt
Filed under: Marmota monax (woodchuck)
Lineage: Eukaryota; Metazoa; Chordata; Mammalia; Rodentia; Sciuridae
Source: RNAcentral